This 400-nucleotide ribosomal RNA is filed under the name uncultured bacterium. Its description in RNAcentral is "bacterial SSU rRNA". It matches the Rfam family "Bacterial small subunit ribosomal RNA", at positions 355 to 772 of the family's 1533-position model. The record is from RNAcentral.
UGGGGAAUAUUGCACAAUGGAGGAAACUCUGAUGCAGCGACGCCGCGUGAAGGAAGAAGGUCUUCGGAUCGUAAACUUCUAUCAGCAAGGAAGAAAAUGACAGUACUUGACUAAGAAGCCCCGGCUAACUACGUGCCAGCAGCCGCGGUAAUACGUAGGGGGCAAGCGUUAUCCGGAAUUACUGGGUGUAAAGGGUACGUAGGCGGUAUAGUAAGUCAGAUGUGAAAGCCCCGGGCUCAACCUGGGGACUGCAUUUGAAACUGCUUUACUAGAGUGCAGGAGAGGUAAGUGGAAUUCCUAGUGUAGCGGUGAAAUGCGUAGAUAUUAGGAGGAACACCAGUGGCGAAGGCGACUUACUGGACUGUAACUGACGCUGAGGUACGAAAGCGUGGGGAGCGAA